GAUGAACGCUGGCGGCGUGCUUAACACAUGCAAGUCGAACGAAGCACUUUAUUUGAUUUCCUUCGGGAUUGAUUAUUUUGUGACUGAGUGGCGGACGGGUGAGUAACGCGUGGGUAACCUGCCUUGUACAGGGGGAUAACAGUUGGAAACGGCUGCUAAUACCGCAUAAGCGCACGGCAUCGCAUGAUGCAGUGUGAAAAACUCCGGUGGUAUAAGAUGGACCCGCGUUGGAUUAGCUAGUUGGUGAGGUAACGGCCCACCAAGGCGACGAUCCAUAGCCGACCUGAGAGGGUGACCGGCCACAUUGGGACUGAGACACGGCCCAAACUCCUACGGGAGGCAGCAGUGGGUAAUAUUGCACAAUGGGCGAAAGCCUGAUGCAGCGACGCCGCGUGAGCGAAGAAGUAUUUCGGUAUGUAAAGCUCUAUCAGCAGGGAAGAUAAUGACGGUACCUGACUAAGAAGCACCGGCUAAAUACGUG
This 481-nucleotide ribosomal RNA is filed under the name uncultured bacterium. Its description in RNAcentral is "partial 16S ribosomal RNA". It matches the Rfam family "Bacterial small subunit ribosomal RNA", at positions 28 to 507 of the family's 1533-position model. The record is from RNAcentral.